Molecule: ribosomal RNA, 415 nt
Filed under: bacterium enrichment culture clone ALO1_GLFRUDD03F0S7E
Lineage: Bacteria
Description: bacterial SSU rRNA
Rfam family: Bacterial small subunit ribosomal RNA
Source: RNAcentral
GAGUUUGAUCAUGGCUCAGAUUGAACGCUGGUGGCAUGCCUUACACAUGCAAGUCGAACGGCAGCACGGGAGCUUGCUCCUGGUGGCGAGUGGCGAACGGGUGAGUAAUGCAUCGGAACGUAUCCUGGAGUGGGGGAUAACGUAGCGAAAGUUACGCUAAUACCGCAUAUUCUGUGAGCAGGAAAGCGGGGGACCUUCGGGCCUCGCGCUCUUGGAGCGGCCGAUGUCGGAUUAGCUAGUUGGUGAGGUAAAGGCUCACCAAGGCGACGAUCCGUAGCAGGUCUGAGAGGAUGAUCUGCCACACUGGAACUGAGACACGGUCCAGACUCCUACGGGAGGCAGCAGUGGGGAAUUUUGGACAAUGGGGGCAACCCUGAUCCAGCCAUGCCGCGUGAGUGAAGAAGGCCUCGGUUGG